This 1062-nucleotide ribosomal RNA is filed under the name Agraylea multipunctata. RNAcentral's name for it is "SSU rRNA". It matches the Rfam family "Eukaryotic small subunit ribosomal RNA", at positions 111 to 1105 of the family's 1831-position model. Lineage: Eukaryota; Metazoa; Arthropoda; Insecta; Trichoptera; Hydroptilidae. The record is from RNAcentral.
UUUGGUUCCUUAGAUCGUACUCAUAGUUACUUGGAUAACUGUGGCAAUUCUAGAGCUAAUACAUGCAAACGUAGCCCCGACCGGUGACGGAAGGGGUGCUUUUAUUAGAUCAAAAACCAAUCGGCGCUCGCGCCGUCCAAAGAGAUGACUCUAGAUAACUUCGAGCUGAUCGCACGGUCCAGCACCGGCGACGCAUCUUUCAAAUGUCUGCCUUAUCAACUGUCGAUGGUAGUUUAUCUGACUACCAUGGUUGUCACGGGUAACGGGGAAUCAGGGUUCGAUUCCGGAGAGGGAGCCUGAGAAACGGCUACCACAUCCACGGAAGGCAGCAGGCGCGCAAAUUACCCACUCCCGGCACGGGGAGGUAGUGACGAAAAAUAACGAUACGGGACUCGUCCGAGGCCUCGUGAUCGGAAUGAUUACACUUUAAAUCCUUUAAUGAGGAUCCAUUGGAGGGCAAGUCUGGUGCCAGCAGCCGCGGUAAUUCCAGCUCCAAUAGCAUAUACUAAAGUUGUUGCGGUUAAAAAGCUCGUAGUUGAAACUGUGUCCUGCGGCGUUUGUCUACCGAUUGCGGUACGACAGGCGCGUCUGCGGGGCUUCUCGCCGGUGCGUCUUCCGACCCUUCCGCGCGUGCGCGUCGUGCUCGUUUCGGCUUGUGCGGCGUCGCGCGCGGUCAAAGGGGUCGGGUCGUCGCGGCUUUUUACUUUGAACAAAUUAGAGUGCUCAAAGCGGGCUGUUUUUCGCCUGAAUAUUGUACGCAUGGAAUAAUAGAAUAGGACCUCGGUUCUGUUUUGUUGGCUUUCUGACACCAGAGGUAAUGAUUAAUAGGGACAACUGGGGGCAUUCGUAUUGCGACGUUAGAGGUGAAAUUCUUGGAUCGUCGCAAGACGGACUAAAGCGAAAGCAUUUGCCAAAGGUGUUUUCAUUAAUCAAGAACGAAAGUUAGAGGUUCGAAGGCGAUUAGAUACCGCUGUAGUUCUAACCAUAAAUGAUGCCAGCCAGCGAUCCGCCGAAGUAUCAAAUUAAAAUUACCCGGUGGGCAGCUCCCGGGAAACCAAAGCU